CUGAUAUAGAUUCAUCAGUUAAUGAAAAUAAUAAACAAAAUCAUCAAAAUAGGGCGAAAAAAAAUAUUCAUUCCGACGAUGAAUAUAAGGAUUUACGUUGUAUGUUACCUCCACCGCCAAAAAAACCAACUACGCUCUCUAUGAACAAGCCUUCAGAAUACUCUUUGAAGAGUCCAAAUAGAGAACAUUCAAGAUUAUCAAAUAAAACAAGUUAUGAGCAGAAAGAAAAUUGUAAUCGUACAGAUUUAUCAUCAUCUUCGCUAUUUCAUGCUAAACAAGAAGUUACUUCUCGUGAUACCAUAAAUGAAUCUGCGCGUGAGGUUUUGAAAAAGCCAAUUGCAACCAUUGACUCAAGGAUGUUGAAUGUUAACAAUUGUAAUUCAACAAUUUUAGAGGAUAUGGAACUCAAAAGAGAAUUAUACGUAAGUGCAAUAAAAUGGAUUCAAAGUUGAAUUGUAUUGAUGGGAGAUUGAGAAAUCUCGAAGAAAAGCUAGAAAGCGGCAUAAAUGUUAAAAAAGAUGAAUAUUUUAAUAUUGAAGACAUUGUAUGUUUGCCUUUAAAAACCAUUGGCGAUAUGACAAAAUUAGAAUUGGAUUUGCAAGAUACAAAUUUCUUUAACCAUAUGAAUGUGUUCAUGCGAAAUUCCAAACAGAUGACAAACAAAUAAA
This is a long non-coding RNA of Odontomachus brunneus, 668 nucleotides long. RefSeq lists it as uncharacterized. Lineage: Eukaryota; Metazoa; Arthropoda; Insecta; Hymenoptera; Formicidae. The transcript has 3 exons. The record is from RefSeq and is a predicted model, not a curated record.